Molecule: transfer RNA, 66 nt
Filed under: Endeis sp. JZ-2022
Lineage: Eukaryota; Metazoa; Arthropoda; Pycnogonida; Pantopoda; Endeidae
Description: tRNA-Pro
Source: RNAcentral
UCAAAUAUAGUUUAUAUUUAAAAAAUAUUAGUUUUGGAGAUUAAAGAUGUAUUACUACUGUUUGAA